UACGGAGGAUCCAAGCGUUAUCCGGAAUCGUUGGGCUUAAAGGGUCCGUAGGCGGGAUAAUAAGUCAGUGGUGAAAGUCCGCAGCUCAACCGUAGAAUUGCCAUUGAUACUGUUGUUCUUGAGUGUUUAUGAAGUGGUUAGAAUAUGUAGUGUAGCGGUGAAAUGCAUAGAUAUUACAUAGAAUACCGAUUGCGAAGGCGGACCACUAAUAAAAUACUGACGCUGAUGGACGAAAGCGUGGGGAGCAAACAGG
RNAcentral lists this unclassified non-coding RNA (253 nucleotides) under uncultured Flavobacteriaceae bacterium. RNAcentral's name for it is "contains 16S-23S intergenic spacer region". It matches the Rfam family "Bacterial small subunit ribosomal RNA", at positions 524 to 776 of the family's 1533-position model. Lineage: Bacteria; Pseudomonadati; Bacteroidota; Flavobacteriia; Flavobacteriales; Flavobacteriaceae. The record is from RNAcentral.